This 77-nucleotide transfer RNA is filed under the name Pseudomonadota bacterium. Its description in RNAcentral is "tRNA-Arg". It matches the Rfam family "tRNA". Rfam says of the family: Transfer RNA (tRNA) molecules are approximately 80 nucleotides in length. RNAcentral also lists the same sequence under 1 other name. The record is from RNAcentral. Lineage: Bacteria; Pseudomonadati; Pseudomonadota.
GCCCUCGUAGCUCAGGGGAUUAGAGCGCAGCGCUGCGGACGCUGAGGCCACAGGUUCGAAUCCUGUCGAGGGUACCA